This 474-nucleotide ribosomal RNA is filed under the name uncultured bacterium. Its description in RNAcentral is "partial 16S ribosomal RNA". It matches the Rfam family "Bacterial small subunit ribosomal RNA", at positions 355 to 821 of the family's 1533-position model. The record is from RNAcentral.
UAGGGAAUCUUCGGCAAUGGGGGCAACCCUGACCGAGCAACGCCGCGUGAGUGAAGAAGGUUUUCGGAUCGUAAAGCUCUGUUGUAAGUCAAGAACGGGUGUGAGAGUGGAAAGUUCACACUGUGACGGUAGCUUACCAGAAAGGGACGGCUAACUACGUGCCAGCAGCCGCGGUAAUACGUAGGUCCCGAGCGUUGUCCGGAUUUAUUGGGCGUAAAGCGAGCGCAGGCGGUUUGAUAAGUCUGAAGUUAAAGGCUGUGGCUCAACCAUAGUUCGCUUUGGAAACUGUCAAACUUGAGUGCAGAAGGGGAGAGUGGAAUUCCAUGUGUAGCGGUGAAAUGCGUAGAUAUAUGGAGGAACACCGGUGGCGAAAGCGGCUCUCUGGUCUGUAACUGACGCUGAGGCUCGAAAGCGUGGGGAGCGAACAGGAUUAGAUACCCUGGUAGUCCACGCCGUAAACGAUGAGUGCUAGGU